AGUGAACGCUGGCGGUAUGCCUAACACAUGCAAGUCGAACGGAAGCACAGUAAGAGCUUCCUCUUACGGGUGGCGAGUGGCGUACGUGUCAGGACUACAUCGGAAUCUACUUUUUCGUGGGGGAUCACGUAGGCAAACUUACGCUCAUAUCACAUACGACCUACCGUUGCAAUCAGUUGAACUUCGGACCUUGCGUGCUUGUAUGAGCCGAUGUCGCGUUAGCUAGUUGGCGGGGUAAAGGCCCACCAAGGCGACGCUCCGUAGCUGGUCCGACGGGAUGAUCAGCCACACUGGAACUGAGACACGGUCCAGACUCCUACGGGAGGCAGCAGUGGGGAAUAUUGGACAAUGGGGGAAAGCCUGAUCCAGCCAUACCGCGUGGGUGAAGAAGGCCUUCGGGUUGUAAAGCCCUUUUGUUGGGAAAGAAAAGCAGCAGGUUAAUACCGCGCUGUUCUGACGGUACCCAAAGAAUAAGCAACGGCUAACUUCGUG
Molecule: ribosomal RNA, 492 nt
Filed under: uncultured bacterium
Lineage: Bacteria
Description: partial 16S ribosomal RNA
Rfam family: Bacterial small subunit ribosomal RNA
Source: RNAcentral